AUUCCUGUAACCCAACAGACAUUAUAAACCUAGAGGGACAACUGCAAGUAAAUUCUGUUUAAGGGUAAUCUAAGAGACAUCACUGUUGAUGCAAGCACAUGUGUUCACCACUAGCAAGGGGCUGGCAGGAAAGAGUAAAGACAAAACAAAGUAUGUUUGUGACAGGGUGAUAUGGUCUGAAUGGAAACCUAGAGCCGUGGAACUCCUAGGGUAUGUACACUGCUCCGUGCAUAUUUUACAGCACUAAUUUGAAGUACUAGCAAGUGCUCUUAAACAUGACAGAAGUGCAGUGUUUGGUGGGGGUGGUGGGGGUGCUUCUGAACCUCCCUGCACUUUCCAGGCUAGGAGGCAGGGGGUGCUCUGCAGCCUUCUGGCCUUCUCCACUGAUCAGAAAUUUGACCAGCAUACAGAACUUAUCUGAAGUUGGGAAACUGCUGUAAAAUACAGCACUUCAAAUUUAAUACCUUGUUUAACAAAGGUUCAUUUAAAGCGCUGUACCCAUUUUUAUAGUGCCGUAAAGCCGUGCCCUUCUGUUAAGUCACGGCAAUAAAGUGCUUUAAAUGGUAAAAAAAACCCAACUUCUGUACACACUCCUAAAUUCUAAUCCCAGCUCUAUUGCUAUGUUGUUGUUUCUAUUUUGUUACACAGAAUAAUCAAAUUACAUGUCAUGAAAGUGACCAUGAUUUAGCAGUCAGUAUAAACCCGGACAAAUAAUACUUGGUGCAUUGUAAGUAAACCUGGGUGCUAAGAGAACAGAAUACCAGGUGCUACGAGAUGAUGUUUACAUCCUUUGGAUUUAAAGUGGGCUCUGUGAAACAGAGUAUAAAAUGGAAAUUAUGUCACAUUACCAAUGACACCAAUGCUAGAUUGAGGCGCUGAAAUGUAAACUUCUGCUUUGUGCAAAGGAAGUUCUAGAGCAGGGGUUCUCAAACUGUGGUACAUGUACCCCUGGGGGUACGCACGACAUCUUUUGGAGGGUACAUGGGAGAAAUUGUGUAAUGGCCGAUUUAAUUUUCAUUAUAAUAAUAAUUGCUAUUUAAGGGGUUAAAAUAUAAAACGUAUGCUGGUAGGGGUAUACAGGAAGCUGGUCAAUCUAACAGGAUAGUAGAAGCUCUGAUGGCAUUUCAAAACAUCUAAAAUCCCACCUGCAGUUUACAGCAUGUUCUUUUGAUUCUCAACCAAGCUCUCGCCCCUUUGAGGCUAUUUGUACCUGCCACUCCUGUUGUUUUGCAUUCCAGUUUCUGUUUAUUCCUUUUAAAAUGGUACCACCCCAUAUUUCACGCUUAAAAGCCAUGCAGUCUGGGCAAUGCCUGUCUUUCUAAAGCUAAGAUAGAAGGUCUGGUUGUUCAAAGCCUAUGCCUUCUAUGGUUGUGACUUAACAUUGGUUCAGGCCAUAUCAGUUUGAAAACAGUUGACUGGACAGACAAGAGACUCUUUUAUUUCCCAACCCAAUUUAGCUGGGGCCAUGGGUGAGUUGUACUCCAGUCUUCAGUUUCCAAAGACUAGUAAUUGAGCUUGCUUAGAUCUCCAGUGUCUCAUGACUUCACUUCAGCCACUGCUGCACAAAGCAAGAUCGUGGCAUUUCUGUUUAAUGACAUUCCCUCCACUGCAUCGACGAUUCAGGUUUGGCACCAAGUGCACUAAAGUAACAUAGUAGAUUCCCUACGUGAGUAGGAAGAGGCUUGGGAGAAACAGAGUUUUAUCUACAUUUAGAUAGCUUGUUCCUGCACCAAUUCAAGCCAAUAACCAAGACUCCCACGAAGUUCAGUGGGAACCAUAUUGAUACCAGGAUUUAUUUUACAGAUUCCCGUAUAUUAUUUAUAUGGCAGAUUCGGUCUUAAUAAGUGCUGUGUGCCUCAGCUGUCAGUGGCCCUGAUCUGCUUUUAUGGAAAAAAGAGCAAGCCCAGUGAAUCUUGAAUUCUUUUCUGCACAGCAACAAAGCUUCAAAAGGCUGGAUGGAAGGGGCCUCCACCCACAAUAGGCUGGUGGUCGGACAGUCUCCUAGUGGGGCCGCAUGAGUCCUUUGUUGGAACUAGCCCUGUAUCAAUAAGUCUUCCCCUAAUAAAGCCAAAGAUCACGUCAAAACAAUUGGCUACCUGAAUGCAUCGAUUUCUGCAGCUUGCGGAAUGCUUCUGUCAACAAUAAAGCAGUUGCUGACUCGAUUUCCGUUCCAGUGGCCCAAGCCAAAGUUUAUUAGCCUCUGUCAAGGACUAAUGGUCACUUAAGAGUUUAAAAAACUAGAACAGGGGAGUUAUCGGGCAAUGACAAUAAAGCUGUUGUAUGUUGUGCUCUCAGAAGUAACAGUGCUGAUUUUUCCUGCACAAACAGAACUUUACUAAUUGGUAAUCUGAUGAAAAUCAUGAAGAAAAGCUGCAAAGUAUGGCAUUAUUUCUGGUAGCUUGUAGCAAGUUUGAAGAUAUUAGCAAGGAAAUUUCUCACCAAUCACGGGGAUAUCAUAAAAGAAGCAACUCUUGAAGAAGGACUUGGAGAAGGAUGUACUGGAUUUGCCUGACCAAUUUCAUCUGUGGUAAUAAGAGUACCUGCUAUUCUGAAUGUAUGUAAUACAUUUGCAUCAAGGAAAUUGCUUUUCUCAUUUUCUCUUUUCUGUAUGCAAGUGUCGUGUUAAAAGCAGAGACCAUAUUAAUUUGACAUUAACCUCAUCACUGUCUUUGGCUCCACUUAAAACAUCUUUAGUAAUAGCAGCAGCUUUGACUAAUGAAGCUAAGAACACGUUUCCUUUCUAUUUUUUAAUAUAUAUUCCAUUUAUUUCUUGAAGACAAUGAAAAUAGACAGGUUAGUUUCAUUGCUAUUUCUCAUCACUGACUUAGGUGCUGCCAAAAUGAUACAGAGUUGCAGUGGGUUGUUUCAACCCAAGCAAUUAAUUUUUUACAUUAAAAAACAAGCAUGCCCAGAUCAUGAACUUUUUCUGUGAAAAUCUGGCCAUAUAAAAUAUUUUUGAAAAUAAAAGACCUAAUUUUGGGACACAGACUUAUCUAAUUGAUUCUGCCCUUGCAUCUAUUCUUGUCUUUUCUAUUGAGAUGCUUAUACUGCUCUUACCCCUCUAGUAUCUACAUGCCAUCCAAUAGCACAUUAACCAACAUAACUAACAUCUGUCAUGAGUGUUUCAUUCUCAUUCUCUCACUCUCUUCACUGGGGGAAUCCUGAGGAUUCACUUAAAUGGGCCUUAACUCAGCGUGACCCAGAACGUUGCACUUUGACUGUUUUAAAAAAUGUUUUAAAGAUAUUCAUGUCAUUUUCUUGGUACCACAAUGAACAAUAAAGGCAAUACUUACAAUAGUAAAGUGUAUUAAAUAACUACACGUAAAAAGUCACCUUUGGACAUAAUCAUCAUCAGAAAUCUGAAUGCAUUUGAUGUUGCUGAAUGCAAGCUAUUGUAACAACUAAAGGAAAAAAAAAUCAGGCAGAUAUUUUGAAUCCUAUGUUAAAAUUAUUGAAUCUCAACAGAACUGUGAUUGGCCACAAUUAAGUCUAUGCUUUAAAAAUUAUACUCUUGAUGUUUCAGCACAAAAGUUUCAGAGCAUCACUGGAAGUCUGGGAAAUAUUUGCUGUCUUCUCCUUUGCUGUAGAGAAUUCCAGGAUGCCGUUUACAAAGAUUUUGUGGGGUUUGGUCUUACAACACUUAUUCAUUUGUACUCUUUGCAGGAGAAAAGAUCGGGCCCUUGCCUAGCAACAUAACUUUCUCUUUUCAAUUCUUAUCAUACUAGAGUCAUAAUAUUUUGUUAAGGUGCAAUAAUGAUAAAAUUAUCAUUACUGCCAGCUCUUAUUUUGUGCUUUUGAUAUCUGUUUCUUUUAUCAAUCAGUUAGCGGGGGAUUAAAGCUGACUGUGCUGCACUGGCAAUUUUUGAUUUCUUAUUAUUGAUUCCCUCAGGCUGGUCUUUUAAACUUUUCAAUACAAAAAUAUAAAACACAAUCCAUGAUGUGGAUCAGCAUAGUACACACACAAAUAAGUAUAUACAGCUGUAUCCUAGCCAGGGCUGUUUACUGCAUCUUCCAUUUACUUUCAAAAUUAUUGCAGUUACUUUCCCUACAACAUGAGCCUUUGCUAUUAAAUUCACAGGUCCGUGCUAAUUGCAGACAACUGAGGAAGUAAGCAAACCACGAUGUUCAGAAGUAAAAAGGUGCAAACAUGCCAUUUAAAGACAAUCCAGCUCAGUGCCAUGCACUGCAGUUUGAUUGACUCCCCCUGCAUCACAUCCUGCGAUUCACUGUAUGAAGGACACUAUAUAAAAAUUAAUGGUAGAUUAGAUGGCACAGAAGAGUGAAGAGCUCCAGCUGCCUGCCUUCCUGGUAGCCUCUCUCAGGAAGGCAGAAGCAGCUCUAAAGCUAUUAUGUCCCUGCUUCAUCACCCUUGUUACAAUCUCUCCACCCCCCUUGUCCCCCAAAGUCCUCUAUACGCAACAGAAAGAGAACCUGGAAAAGAACCUCCACGUUUCACCCUACCCCCUCAUCCCCAGCCUUUUCUCCAAAAUGGGGAUGAAAGAGGGAAAUAAAUCAGCUAAACAAAUCUCUGUAGGACACAGUUUUUGUUUUGUACUGCCCCCACAAUAAACCCCAAAUUCCUCUGCAGUCUAUAACAGUGUUGCAGUACAUAUAUCCUGGAGCCUUGGCUAAGCAGACACUGUAACAGGUCAUUCUGGCUCACCAACCAUUUUAAUUUUUUGGAAACUACUUUCCAGCCCCACCUCCCUAAUUUUUAGAGCAGCCCUUCUGUUUCCACAUGCAUUUGUUAUAUCCUGCAAUUUGUUAUGCCCACUUUUCCUCUAUAUCCCAUUAAAUAUGUGCAUUAUGCAACCUGCAAGAAGGAAGUUAAGAAUGGAUGGGACCAAAACCUGCAAACAAACCAAAAACAAGCAACCAAAAAUCUCAUCCUAGCAGUGUACAAGAAUUUAAAAAAAAUCCUUAUGCCGCUCUUCUUUAAACAGAUCGAGUGGUUCAUCCGCUGCUACACUGUACUCCUUCCCCUCAUUUUAUUGCUUGAGGGUAAUUCUUUGGAAGUACAUGAUGAUCACCACCUUACAAUUUGGUUCCACAGGCACUGGCUGUCAAAAGCAGCAGCUUUCUACUUUUUUUUUUUUUUUAAAGAAAUAUGAUGCCCAUCUUCUGUCAUAAAGGCUCUGAUUUUUCUGGGGUGCUAUGAGGUUGGGUUUUUUUUCGUUUGGUAGCAUAACAAUAGCUACUUUCAAGUCAGUGUACAUUAUCCAUACCAUAAAAAGAAGAAAAAGCUUCAUGUAACUGAUGCUGCACAAAAGAAAACAUACCUG
Alligator mississippiensis (American alligator) is the source of this 5282-nucleotide long non-coding RNA. RefSeq lists it as uncharacterized. NCBI's taxonomy places the organism in Eukaryota, Metazoa, Chordata, Crocodylia, Alligatoridae. The transcript is spliced from 3 exons. The record is from RefSeq and is a predicted model, not a curated record.